This 492-nucleotide ribosomal RNA is filed under the name uncultured bacterium. RNAcentral's name for it is "partial 16S ribosomal RNA". It matches the Rfam family "Bacterial small subunit ribosomal RNA", at positions 29 to 507 of the family's 1533-position model. The record is from RNAcentral.
AGUGAACGCUGGCGGUAGGCCUAACACAUGCAAGUCGAACGGCAGCACAGUAAGAGCUUGCUCUUACGGGUGGCGAGUGGCGGACGGGUGAGGAAUACAUCGGAAUCUACUUUUUCGUGGGGGAUCACGUAGGGAAACUUACGCUAAUACCGCAUACGACCUACGGGUGAAAGCAGGGGAUCUUCGGGCCUUGCGCGAUUGAAUGAGCCGAUGUCGGAUUAGCUAGUUGGCGGGGUAAAGGCCCACCAAGGCGACGAUCCGUAGCUGGUCUGAGAGGAUGAUCAGCCACACUGGAACUGAGACACGGUCCAGACUCCUACGGGAGGCAGCAGUGGGGAACAUUGGACAAUAGGCGCAAGCCUGAUCCAGCCAUACCGCGUGGGUGAAGAAGGCCUUCGGGUUGUAAAGCCCUUUUGUUGGGAAAGAAAAGCAGCAGGUUAAUACCCCGCUGUUCUGACGGUACCCAAAGAAUAAGCACCGGCUAACUUCGUG